Molecule: long non-coding RNA, 319 nt
Organism: Salvelinus sp. IW2-2015
Lineage: Eukaryota; Metazoa; Chordata; Actinopteri; Salmoniformes; Salmonidae
Source: RefSeq, a predicted model, not a curated record
GACGCAUUUCUGUGGAAUUCAAUAGACACAACUCAGCCACAAAUGUAUCAGCCAGUCAUGCAAGUUUAUUGAAAGGCUCUACAACAAGUAAGGUCAAUGUUUUAACCUGUUGGUCUUCGUCUGGUCUCCAUGGAAAAGAUAUACAGAGUUGACAGACUACAUCUUGACAACAUCCGGGAACAGAUUACACAAAAGGUUUGUGAAAGGAAGGAACACAUAGGAGUCAACAACACAAAGGGGCGAAGCCACAAACCAGUGUGAUGGAGAAAAGAACAACCAGUGCUCCCAGCUUUACCUCCAGGCCAGGGAUAUCAGCUGG